This 507-nucleotide ribosomal RNA is filed under the name uncultured Glomeromycotina. RNAcentral describes it as "SSU rRNA". It matches the Rfam family "Eukaryotic small subunit ribosomal RNA", at positions 569 to 1077 of the family's 1831-position model. Lineage: Eukaryota; Fungi; Glomeromycota. The record is from RNAcentral.
AGCAGCCGCGGUAAUUCCAGCUCCAAUAGCGUAUAUUAAAGUUGUUGCAGUUAAAAAGCUCGUAGUUGAAUUUCGGGAUCAGUACGCUGGUCAUGCCUUUGGUAUGCACUGGUGUCACUGGUUUCUCCCUUCUGAAGAACCGUGAUGUCAUUAAUUUGGUGUCGCGGGGAAUCAGGACUGUUACUUUGAAAAAAUUAGAGUGUUUAAAGCAGGCUCACGCUUGAAUACAUUAGCAUGGAAUAAUGAAAUAGGACGUUUGACCCUAUUUUGUUGGUUUCUAGGAUCGACGUAAUGAUUAAUAGGGAUAGUUGGGGGCAUUAGUAUUCAAUUGUCAGAGGUGAAAUUCUUGGAUUUAUUGAAGACUAACUACUGCGAAAGCAUUUGCCAAGGAUGUUUUCAUUAAUCAAGAACGAAAGUUAGGGGAUCGAAGACGAUCAGAUACCGUCGUAGUCUUAACCAUAAACUAUGCCGACUAGGGAUCGGAUGAUGUUAAUUUUAUAAUGACUC